This 97-nucleotide signal recognition particle RNA is filed under the name Escherichia coli. RNAcentral's name for it is "signal recognition particle sRNA small type". It matches the Rfam family "Bacterial small signal recognition particle RNA". From Rfam's summary of the family: The signal recognition particle (SRP) is a universally conserved ribonucleoprotein involved in the co-translational targeting of proteins to membranes. Archaeal SRP consists of a 7S RNA and homologues of the eukaryotic SRP19 and SRP54 proteins. Lineage: Bacteria; Pseudomonadati; Pseudomonadota; Gammaproteobacteria; Enterobacterales; Enterobacteriaceae. The record is from RNAcentral.
UGUUGGUUCUCCCGCAACGCUACUCUGUUUACCAGGUCAGGUCCGGAAGGAAGCAGCCAAGGCAUAUGACGCGUGUGCCGGGAUGUAGCUGGCAGGG